AGCGAACGCUGGCGGCGUGCCUAACACAUGCAAGUCGAACGUGAAAAGGGAAACCUGAGUAAAGUGGCGUACGGGUGAGUCACGCGUAGGUAAUCUACCCCAGCAUCUGGAAUAACCUGCCGAAAGGCGGGCUAAUACUGGAUAGAGCGAGGGAACUCGUAAGAGAGUUUUUCGGGAAAGGGAGCCCGCAAGGGCCUUCGUUCUGGGAUGAGCCUGCGUCUCAUUAGCUAGUUGGUAAGGUAACGGCUUACCAAGGCGAUGAUGAGUAGCUGGUCUGAGAGGAUGAUCAGCCACACUGGAACUGAAACACGGUCCAGACUCCUACGGGAGGCAGGAGUGGGGGAACUUGCGGAAUGGACGAAAGUCUGACGCAGCCACGCCGCGGGAGGGAAGAAGGCCUUCGGGUUGGAAAGCUCUGUCGGAUGGGACGAACAUCUUCAUAGUGAAUAGCUAUGAGGACUGACGGUACCAUCAAAGGAAGCACCGGCUAACUCCGUG
Molecule: ribosomal RNA, 498 nt
Filed under: uncultured bacterium
Lineage: Bacteria
Description: partial 16S ribosomal RNA
Rfam family: Bacterial small subunit ribosomal RNA
Source: RNAcentral